RNAcentral lists this ribosomal RNA (502 nucleotides) under uncultured bacterium. RNAcentral describes it as "partial 16S ribosomal RNA". It matches the Rfam family "Bacterial small subunit ribosomal RNA", at positions 28 to 523 of the family's 1533-position model. The record is from RNAcentral.
GUUGAACGCUGGCGGCGUGCUUAACACAUGCAAGUCGAUCGGUAACAGGUGUAGCAAUACAUGCUGACGAGAGGCGGACGGGUGAGGAAUAUUUGGGAAUCUGCCCAUCAGCGGGGGACAACCCGGGGAAACCCGGGCUAAUACCGCAUACGCUCUACGGAGGAAAGCCGGGGACCGCAAGGCCUGGCACUGAUGGAUGAGCCCAAAUCGGAUUAGGUAGUUGGCGGGGUAACGGCCCACCAAGGCGACGAUCCGUAGCUGGUCUGAGAGGACGAUCAGCCACACCGGAACUGAGACACGGUCCGGACUCCUACGGGAGGCAGCAGUGGGGAAUAUUGGACAAUGGGGGAAACCCUGAUCCAGCGACGCCGCGUGGGUGAAGAAGGCCUGCGGGUUGUAAAGCCCUUUCGGUAAGGACGAAAGCUCUUGCUCUAACAAGGCAGGAGGUUGACUUAACCUACAUAAGAAGCACCGGCUAACUCUGUGCCAGCCGCCGCCGUAA